Molecule: transfer RNA, 73 nt
Filed under: Trabulsiella odontotermitis
Lineage: Bacteria; Pseudomonadati; Pseudomonadota; Gammaproteobacteria; Enterobacterales; Enterobacteriaceae
Description: tRNA-OTHER
Source: RNAcentral
CCGCCAUUAGCUCAGCAGGAUAGAGCGUGCAGUAGUAUGCAGGUGCGGGGUUCGAGACCUCGAUGGCGGACCA